CAGGCCCUCACCUGUAGGGAGGUGGAUCUGAGACCUGUUCUUCCGGCUCCUCUCCUGGCUGCCUUGUGAAUAACUCUCUCUGCUGCAUCCUCAGCCUGCUGCUCAUCGGGCAAAAGGAACCUGACUCAGUAAAAGGAGCAUGUACGCGGGCUUUUCACUGCUGCGGCCUCUCCCGUCGCGGAGCACAGGCUCUGGAUGCGCAGCCCCAGCCGCUCCACGGCAUGUGGGAUCCUCCCGGACCGGGGCACAAACCCGUGUCUCCUGCAUCGGCAGGCGGACUCUCAACCACUGCGCCACCAGGGAAGCCCCCCUCUUUUGUUCUUAUUUAGCACAUGUGACUCAGAUGGAGCUGACCCACCUCUCUAGUCCAUAGGAGGGCAUGUGACCCAAGUCUGGCCAAUCACCAUCUUCCAGCCUCUUGGCCCCAGUGAUUCACUCCUCAGGCUCCAUUUCCACCUGCUCUGGCUCAAAUAAUCAUAUACUUGCCUUCUCUAGAAAUACUGCUUCACGCUGCCUCACAAAUAAACAACUCACCGCGAAGAGCUGAGAAGACACGUAGGUGCCGAGAAAACAGAAUGCAAGAGUGAACAAAGAAGUUGGUUUAGGCAGAAGCUUUUUCUACUGAGACUGAAGAAUGAAUCCUUCUUCUUAGAUUCUUUCAUUAAAUCACUAUUGCGUAAUUAUAGGGAUCUCUGGAAAGCCAAGGAAACUGAGUUUGAAUUCCCUUCUAGAACUUUUCUUCAGCCUCUCUGAGGAACGUAAGAAGGGGAAUUGGAAGACAGGCAAUCUUCUGAUGCUGCAGCCCAGAGGUAGCAACUAUUGAUUUUGCAUGGCAAUGCCCGAGGAUUCCUCUUACUGCUUUUAACCUUCCCCUGCUGGAGAGUCCUACAAAAAAAGUAUCAUAGUUUUUGCCAAAUAUAUUUUAACUUGAGCCUACUAUUAAGAAAAGAAUAAUAGAAUAUUAGCUACUGAGCGUGUUUAAGAAAUGACUACUGCAUUAAAGCUAAAAUUCUUUCUUUUAUUAUCAAUUUUAGUGACUCUGGGUCUAAAUCACCUCUUCCAUUAAUCCCUCAGAAGGUCAUUUUUAGAACAUGAGUGUGAAUAUAUAAAAACACAGGGAGAGACAUCUCAAGGGACAGUUUUAGUUUCGGUGGUCAAGAUGCUGAACUGGAUUGAUUUAGAAGUCCUAUCACAGCAAAGUAAUUGACCCUUCCUCGGCUGGUACCCCCCUAAGCAAACUUUGAAACACACCAGCUCAGCACUUAAUUCAUCUUUCCUUUGACUUUUAAAGUGGCCUGGGUCAAGAGUAGCCUCUUCUUCCGAUGAAUGACAUAGUGUUGGAUUCUUUCUCUAUAAAAUCAUGCAAUCCCAGGUUUGACAGUGCCUCACCCCCUGACCUUGGGCCAGGCGCUUAACCUCUACGUCCAGGUGGCUGCACUUCAAACAGAAGAUGUUAACAUUGACCAGAAGAUUCAGGGAUGAAUAACUUAUUAAUGAUUUGAGAGCACUUAGGACCUAUAAAGCACUAUAAAAAUCCUUCCUGCAAUAAUAUACGGAUAGCAUAAGUAUAGCAUGAUAGCCAGUUCCAGAGCGGAAAUGAACCCCUUAGGUGCCAUUUUGGUGUUCUGUGAAAUUUAAGCAAAGGAGGAUAGCCCUCUUCCACCACAGAGGUUUUGCCAAAGGGCAAAUGCAUCAAAGUAAGGGGACGCUUGUAAACUUGACUUCUACUUAUGUCCCUGUGGCUGUUCUGUAACGAUUUGAUGUGACCCAAAGUUGUCUUUAUGUGUCAAACAGUCUGGGGUCUCCUCAUUGCCUUUGGUUUUUUUGGACCAAGAAUGUAGAAUACAAAGCUUGUGUUAUUAAACAUGUUGGAGCAGAAAAUGCUAAGAGGUUUGGAGCGUGUAAGGGUCUGUCUAGAAACUGCGGUGGAGCAUGUGGAAGGAGAGAUGGACAGACAAGUGGAUACUUUGUCAACCGUCUUAGUGUUUCGGAAAACGUGUAGUAAACGUUUGUGCAGUAAAUUUGGAGAAUUUACUGUACUGGAAUAUGAAGCAUUUCUAGACCAAAAGAGGCCAAUUUAAGUCAAGACUUCAAAGAGAUGGUGCUGACUGUCACAGUGGGCGUGUCCUUCUUUUUGCAAGCUCAGCAUCUGUAACCCAUUCCCAUGGUUGGGGAAUCCUCCCACCUUAGGAGUUUUGGUGAGAGGCAGAGUCUGCCUUUCACUCUAGCAGGUGGAAAUGCAAGAUACUCACUUUCCCAAGGCACAGCCAGAGGACGGAGGCCUGGCAGGCAGAGGUACCUACUCCGGACUCUGAAAACAGAACUAGUGACACAAAGAAAGAAUCAGACGUAACUCUGUCUGACAUUGGCAAAGGAUGCAGAAGCCCAUGUUCUUGGGCAGCAGAGAGAGUGGUGCUGUGGCCGCACCCAUAUCCACGAUGACCAGAGUCCAUGGUCCAAGUUCAGAUGUGGUUCUCGAUGGUGGCGGCUGUAGACGUUCUUUCUACAGCAGACCUGCAGUGGGAUUUUGAGUUUUGCUCCUGCCUGGAGGUCCCUGUCCCAGUGAUACUCUGAGAUACCCAGUGCCCCUUUGUUGUUAUUACCUUUUUAAUAUGAAUAUUUCCAAACGUAUACAAAUCCUCCAUCUGCCCACCGUCUACUCCGCCUGGUAUAAUUUACUUACUAGAGUAUUCGAACAUCGUAGUUGAAUAACUCAAUGUGUGUUAGUAAAUGUAUAGAGCUAUAUAACCAUCCCCCCCAUCUCAUGACAUUUUCGUUUUGUUUUAGUAUACAGUUCUAGGAAUUCUGACCCAUAUAGAUUUGUUCAGCCACAGCCACACUCAGGAUACAGAAUAGUUUUCAUCACCCCAAAGUACUCCCCUCUGCUAUCUAUGGUCAUACCCUCCCUGCUUCCGACCCUGAGACCACUGCUCUGUUCCCCAUCUCUACAGUUUUGUCUUUUCUAGAAUGUCAUAUAAAUGGAAUCAUACGAUAGAUAGUCUUUUAUGUCUUUGCACAACGCCUCUGAGAGUCAUCCAAGCUGCUGCAUGUGUUAAUAGUCUACUCCUUUCUAUUAAGUAUUUUGUUGUAUGGAUAUAGCACA
Molecule: long non-coding RNA, 3103 nt
Organism: Orcinus orca (killer whale)
Lineage: Eukaryota; Metazoa; Chordata; Mammalia; Artiodactyla; Delphinidae
Exons: 2
Source: RefSeq, a predicted model, not a curated record